Molecule: long non-coding RNA, 610 nt
Filed under: Fukomys damarensis (Damara mole-rat)
Lineage: Eukaryota; Metazoa; Chordata; Mammalia; Rodentia; Bathyergidae
Description: lncRNA (ENSFDAG00000021844.1)
Source: RNAcentral
CCUCUCCUUUCUCCCCUCAGUUCCUCCUUCUUCACCUUCCAGAUGUGUCCCGUUUGUUCCAUGACGAAUUGAGCAGCCAAUGUGCUGCAGUCUGCAUCUCUGUUUACUGCAGAGGCUCUCGGUGCUUGACAGAAUGCAUCAGUGAGUUCCGAUGACCUCAGUGGGCUCCCUCGCUGCUUGAGUGCCCACAAGUGCAGAAAGGCAGUGUUAGAGGAUAUUGAUGAAGUGACUCCACCCACAUGAUGGCCGGUAAAGAAAUGAAGCAGUUCAUGGAGAGCACUGGACACGUCAGCCAUAGAGAAGCUUCAUGCUGGAGCCAAGGGGCCGAUUUACAUAAAAGCUAAUGGGAGCUUUGUAAAGGGACAUGCGUUUACCGAGAAUAACAGCAGGAGUCCUAGCAACAGGAGUCCCAGCGGCAGAGCUUUCAAGCAGAGGAUCAACAGGCAAAAAGUUUUUUUAUAAACAGUUAUCAUCGAUGCUGACCAUAGAAAAGUAAAAUGCUUGCUUUAUUGCUGAGACAGGGAAAAUGGACUCUCCAUUUAUGUACAGGCGUGUCUACUAGUACUUUCAUGAGCAGUGUUAACAAUAAAUGAGCAAUUCAGCAACCACA